Molecule: ribosomal RNA, 458 nt
Filed under: uncultured bacterium
Lineage: Bacteria
Description: partial 16S ribosomal RNA
Rfam family: Bacterial small subunit ribosomal RNA
Source: RNAcentral
CCUACGGGUGGCAGCAGUGGGGGAUAUUGCACAAUGGGGGAAACCCUGAUGCAGCGACGCCGCGUGGGUGAAGAAGCGCCUCGGUACGUAAAGCUCUAUCAGCAGGGAAGAAAAACCUGCCUUAGGGCCGCCAGACGGUACCUGACUAAGAACCCCCAGCUAACUACGUGCCAGCAGCCGCGGUAAUACGUAGGGGGCAAGCGUUAUCCGGAUGUACUGGGUGUAAAGGGAGCGUAGACGGCAGCGCAAGUCUGGAGUGAAAUGCCGGGGCCCAACCCCGGAACUGCUUUGGAAACUGUGGAGCUGGAGUGCAGGAGAGGUAAGCGGAAUUCCUAGUGUAGCGGUGAAAUGUGUAGAUAUUAGGAGGAACACCAGUGGCGAAGGCGGCUUACUGGACUGUAACUGACGUUGAGGCUCGAAAGCGUGGGGAGCAAACAGGAUUAGAUACCCUUGUAGUC